RNAcentral lists this long non-coding RNA (771 nucleotides) under Homo sapiens (human). Its description in RNAcentral is "HSALNT0112232". Lineage: Eukaryota; Metazoa; Chordata; Mammalia; Primates; Hominidae. The record is from RNAcentral.
GCCACACUCACAACAUGAACUGUGAACCUGAUGGAUGAUGGGAUAUGCCUGUUGAAAACAAAUAACAAGUAAGUAGUGGGAAGUCUUUCGGGCUUACAAUCAGGCAGGUGCUGACUAUAUUGUCUCAUUAGCAGAGGAGAGCAAAGAAUGGAUAAAUAGGAAAGCAGGUGUUACCGAUUCUCCCAAACAAAUCCUCAUUCUGACAUCACAAACUGAAGAAAACCAAUGUGAACUUGGAGUUUCUGCUUUUAGCUUCUGAGUGUUCCUCACCAACAUUCAGCUUUCAGUGCUGUUCCAGCACUAUUCACAAUAGCAAAGACAUGGAAUCAACCAAAUGCCCAUCAAUGAUAGACUGCAUAAAGAAAAUGUGGUACAUAUGGAAUACUAUGCAGCUGUAAAAAGGAACAAGAGGACACUCUCUGACCUGUUCCAUCAGGCUGACUCCAUGUGCAACGGCAUAGUCAGGUGCCUGCCUAGUGUGGACCAAGGAUCCUCCAUGAGCCCCUGCCACACUCUACCUCCCUUGACCCCUCUUGCAGACAACUGAAAUUCCAUUGUUUUAUAUUUAUUCCUUUAAUCUUGAAGACAUUUCUCUUUUAAAUAUCUUAUUGCAGAUGCAAAUAGCACUGAAAAUAAUUUUGUAGUGUCAUUGUUAAGAUGAAACUCAAUGAAGUAUGAAAGAUGGGUGUGCAAUUGAGGAGGGUGAGUGGGAAGCUGGAAUAACAGGAGGGAAAAAUAAAAUGUUAAAAUAAAAUAAGACAUGUGUCAAAC